GUCAGGAUGAACGCUGGCGGCGUGCCUAACACAUGCAAGUCGAACGGAGUUAUUAUUAUGAAGUUUUCGGAUGGAUUAAUAAUAACUUAGUGGCGGACGGGUGAGUAACGCGUGGGUAACCUGCCUCAUACAGGGGGAUAACAGUUGGAAACGGCUGCUAAAACCGCAUAAGCAUACAUUGUCGCAUGACAGAGUGUGAAAAUAUUUAUAGGUAUGAGAUGGGCCCGCGUCUGAUUAGCUAGUUGGUAAGGUAACGGCUUACCAAGGCGACGAUCAGUAGCCGGCUUGAGAGAGUGACCGGCCACAUUGGGACUGAGACACGGCCCAAACUCCUACGGGAGGCAGCAGUGGGGAAUAUUGCACAAUGGGGGAAACCCUGAUGCAGCGACGCCGCGUGAAGGAUGAAGGUUUUCGGAUUGUAAACUUCUUUGAUUGGGGACGAAUAAUGACGGUACCCAAAAAACAAGCCACGGCUAACUACGUGCCAGCAGCCGCGGUAAUACGUAGGUGGCAAGCGUUGUCCGGAGUUACUGGGUGUAAAGGGCGUGUAGGCGGGAGGUCAAGUCAGAUGUGAAAUACCAGGGCUCAACCCUGGGGCUGCAUCUGACACUGUCCUUCUUGAGUGCUGGAGAGGAUAGCGGAAUUCCUAGUGUAGCGGUGAAAUGCGUAGAGGAUAGGACGAACACCAGUGGCGAAGGCGGCUUUCUUGACAGGAACUGACGCUGAGGGGCGAAAGCGUGGGGAACAAACAGGAUUAAAUACCCUGGGUAUCCACGCCCUAAACGAUUGUUACUAGG
Molecule: ribosomal RNA, 797 nt
Filed under: uncultured low G+C Gram-positive bacterium
Lineage: Bacteria; Bacillati; Bacillota
Description: bacterial SSU rRNA
Rfam family: Bacterial small subunit ribosomal RNA
Source: RNAcentral